Molecule: non-coding RNA, 4748 nt
Organism: Aegilops tauschii subsp. strangulata
Lineage: Eukaryota; Viridiplantae; Streptophyta; Magnoliopsida; Poales; Poaceae
Source: RefSeq, a predicted model, not a curated record
AAUUCCCCUGUCCGCCCCCAAUCCGAGGCGGAAGCACCGCACCGCAGCCGACCGCGCAUUGAUGCCUACCCCUUCCCCUGCCCGCUCCGGAUCCUUCCAUCCAUCACCAGCUCCACUUUCCUUCUAUUUCCGCCGCCACGCCACGCCACGCGCCCCUCGGCCAAGGACAAGGCUCCGGCCGCCGCCACCGCCUCUGCCCCGGCUAUAAAGCCGCGCCCUUUGGCCGCUCCGCCCCUCCUCCUCCUCUCUUCCUCCUCCUCGCCGCGCCCUGCCCGGUCCGCUCCCCCUCCUCCUCUCUUCGUCCGGGCGGUGCCUCUCUCCUCCGACCUCCCCGCCGCGCUCCGGCCGGCCCGCUGCUCCUCCUCCGCCCUUCUUCCGGGCCGCGCUCCUCGAGCCGGGUUUCAUCUUGCUCGCCCUCCUCGAUCGAUUUUGCCCGUCUAGAAUCGCGUCUGGGUUUGAUUUUGCCCGUCCUUUUGCCCGUUUAGAGUCGCGUCCGGAUUUGACUUUGCUCGCCGUCGCCGCCCCGCCUGAUUUGAUUUUGCUCGUUCUCGCCGUCGUCCGCUUAGAAUCGCGUCCGAUUUGAGUUUGCUCGUUCUCAGUUCGUCGGUUUAGAACCGCUCCCGAGUUGAUUUUGCGCGUCCCCGCCGUCGUCAGUUUAGAGUCGCUCGCUUCUGAUUUGGUUCUGCUCGUCCACGCCGUCGUCCGUUUACGUUUUUGCUCGUUCUCGCCGUUGCCCCGACGCGCCCGCAUGUUCUUGGUCCGUCUCGUCGAGGGUCUCCGUCUGGUUUGCGAUUCAGAAAUUUCUGCGUGUGCUUCUGUUGUCUGAGAGACGCUUUGGAUCCUGCGUUUCUUCGCGUUCGUGUCGGCGCGAGCGUUGCAGGAACGGUCGGGUCUUGGUUUUGAAAUUGGAUUACGGGCCGGAGAUGGAGAGGCGGAGAGCAAUUUUGUCAGUUUGUCGUGCUAGUUCAGAUCGGUUCCUAGGCUCCUGCGUUGUUCGUCGGUUGUUGUCUCAUCUCAAACGGCUAGCUUGUUCGUGUUAGCCUAGAUACUAUGGUUCCUAUGUCGAUUCUCAUUGUACCAGCUAGCUUGUUUCACUUCCGUCAGGCUAGAUGCAGGGGUGAUUUUGUUCUGAUGGGUGUUAAUUUCUGUUCUUUUCAAUUCAAUUGGUUGGUUACUUCCUAUCAUGCUCUGUGUAUGUUCCCAUAUAUGCUGAUGUGUGUUCAGGGGUGCCAUUUCGAGCAGGCAGGCAUAGCAGAAAGUUUUAAAAGAGUGCAAAUCAUGUGGCUUGCUGCUUGACUAAUUGAACACCUGCUGCUGCUACUGUAGGACAAGGUUUCCUUCUUUUAUUCCUCGUGUUGCUAUUUCCAUUUUCAUAUAGGAGUACACUAGAUGAAUUGCUGCUAGCCCCUUAGGCUUCGUUCUGAUUGCAUAGCAUUACUCCAGAAUUUUGUCAUUGCACACCUGCGCAUAUAAUUCUGCUAUGAGCAUAACUUCCAGACUUUAUUUAUCUGUGAAAGCACCUUCAUCACAUGUUUUCUAUCAAUGCUGCUCAUGUCCCUUUUGUUUGUCCUGUUAAAUUUUAUGGCAUCAACUUGGAGCAAAUUUUGUACUCAUUGGUUCAAAUAUCAAGAAUGCUGACUUCUGUAUUUGUCGCUACGUAAGCCAUGCACUUGGGAAGCCUGGGCAUGAUUAGGAUUUGGAUUGCAUAUAGAUUUUGUGCCAUGUUUGUUUAGAACCUGGUUGUGACCUAAUAUAGUGUAAAUCUGCUAAUUUUUUAAUUUCAUUUAUGUUCAACGCAAGUAGGUUUUGUUCGUAAGUGGUAUUUCUUUUGCGUGUGCAUGAACACUCACGCUGUCACUUUUUCUUAUCAUAAUCAUUUACCGUGAUGUUUGACCAUACAUUUCUACUGUUCUUUGUUCCCUUUUGAGGUUCACUGACUCAAUUAUGCAUGAGAUAUGAUAUCAUUUACUGCUGUCCAGUCACUGAAAUAAUGCUUUUCUUGCUUUGCCUUGACUUUGUAACAAGAAUAAGCAUGCGUCUCUGUGCCUACAAACUUGUGGGUAGUGAUGAUGAUCUAACUAGCUUCCUGUUUUCAGGAAUGAAGAUCUGAAUUACCCUCACCCCUCUACAGAAAUCAGUUUACUCAUUCAGUUUCUAGAACUUCUUUAUAGCUUUCUGAGUUUACUUUGGUCUUGCAUGUAUUAGCUUUCUGUUUGUACCCCCUAUCUAUGUUUGUUUCUCUGUGUGUUUCUUGUGUGCAAGUGCUCCAUUGUGUGUGUCUUGACUGUGUGUGUGUGAUGUGCCCCUAUCUAUGUAUGUUUCUUUGUCUGUUUCAUGUGUGCAAGCACUCCAUUGUCUGUGUGUGACUGUGUUUGAUUGCUUAGAUGGGGUGAUUCUGAUUGUGUUACUGCUUAUAUGGUCUGUCCAAUUGGUUUCUUCUUCAUGCUUUGCUUGUGUUCCAGUGUCGUCUCCCCAUAUAUGGGGAUGUGUUGAGGGAUGCAAACCAUGUAGGCCGUUUCGAGCAGGCAGGGAUCCAGAGAUCUCUCCUGCUGAUAGAUGAUGAUAGGCUGAGCAGAAAAGUUUGAUUCUUGUAACACUCACUUGCUUGGCUUCCACUCCUUUGCGUGGCCGAUUUGGCAUCCAAUGCAUCCCAUGCCCUUUUCCCUGUUUAUCUCACUCACUCAUCACAGCACCCUUUUCCCUGUUUUUGUUCCUUAUUUUUCUUACCAUACUAAUCAUGUUGGUGUUUGACACUACAUUUUUUGUGAUAUCUGUGUUUCGUCAUGUCUUAUGUGGAUAUCAUAUUCUUUUUUUUAUAUUACUGAUGUCCAAUCACUGGAAUAAUGCUUUUCUAAGUAUUUCAGGCAGGAUAUAGACAAAUGUCACAUUUGCUCUUCCUUGCGUUUCUAAGGACACUGAUGUGUCGGGUUUGCUUACAGUGCAGGACAGAUAGUUCUAUAAAGAAUCAUAUAUUGGAAUAUUUCUUUGAGAAAGAAGUUAGAUAUCUAUGACACCAGAAAUAUUUUGGCAAUUCCAUGACUAAUUGGCCGUGAUGACUUCAAGUAUAAACAAAAGAUGGCUGCUUCUUCUGAGGGUCAUCUUGAACUGAACAACUCAUCAUUCUAAUUUUAGCUCACCUCUACAGUCAUACAAACUGCCAUGCCAAGGACUGCUCAGGUUUCCUAUCGCUUUCUGUUUUACCAACUAAGGUAAUCAAAUUUUGAUCUUCAGCUUGCAAAUUUAUCACCUUAUGGGAGGGAAAGGUUUGCAUGUACAUGAGCUCUGAUUGUCUACAUAUAUACUUGAAUUGCUUUGGAUUUGUCGGACUACUUUUCUACAUGAUGUUCUCCAUGAUUCAGUUGAUUUGUUAAUUUGAGUAUUUUCCCGGUGAGUUCUUUAGGUUCAUCUUGUGACACAAAAUACAAUUUUGGUACGUGCAGACUCUGAAAUUUGGUGAUAAAGAAAAGAAUCCAGGGUGGAUGGAGGUUUUCAUGAUGGCUAAUUUGAUUUGUUAUGGUUCUGAUGGUGUGCUUCUUGUGUUUGAACCGAAGCCGUGGAUCACUCAUCAACCUGGUCUGUGUUUGUAUGUGUGGUGAGCUCACAUAUUGUGUCAGUAUCUACCUACGCAGCUGAAUUAUUUCCGGAUAGGACAGAGGUGCAAUGUUUACAUCCAUGGCAGAAGGUUCUUUAACACUGAACUCAUCAAAGGUCCUUGGACUCAAGAGGAAGAUGACAAAAUUAUUGACCUUGUAAACAAGUAUGGACUAACAAAAUGGUCGCAUUGCAAGGUCAGCUACCAGAACUUCCUGCUGCUGAUCCUGGGAUGUUUCCGAACAUGCUCCCGAACACGUUCAAUUUAUCCGCUCUAGGACAGCCACUGCCACGACACAGUAGGUUACUCGUCAUUCUCGGCGUGUUUACUUUGGUGGACUUCCUCCGAUCACUAAUGAACAGACGGUUGCUCUAUUCUUCAAUCAAGUUGUGGCUGCUAUCGGGGGAAACACAUUUGGUCUAGGUGGCAUAAUCAUCUGAAUCCAAACAUAUGGAAGGAUGCUUGGACUACUGAGGAGGAACAUGCACUGAUUAAUGCCAUCAGGUAUUUGGGAAUAAAUGAGCAGAAAUAGCACAAGUUAUUCCUGGAAGGUACUGCAUGCCAAACAACUUACAUUAUGGGUCUUGCUUGUAGGAUGCUUUCUGUUUGUGCCCUUUCUAUCUCUUGUGUGUGUGACUGACUGUGUGACUGUGACUGUGUAUGUGUGACUGACUCUGUGUGACUGCUACUGUGUGUGUGUGUGACUGAAUCUGUUUGUGACUGUGACUCUCUGUGUGACCGACUGUGUGUGUGUGUGUUUGAAUUAGUAUUGCAUUUGCUUGAUGGUGUGUGCUGUAUGCUUUGCUUGAUGGUGUGUCUUGAAUGGUUUGCUUGAUGGUGUGUCCUGAAUGCUUUGCUUGAUGGUGUGUCCUGAAUGCUUUGCUUGAAUGAUUGGUGUUGUAUGUUUUGUUUGUUGUGGUGUAACACUGCCUUUGCCGGUCCCAAGCCCGGAUGUGAAAAUGUGGAGGGAGCUGCAUUGAUAUUGCAUUUGCUUGAUUGUGUGUCAUGUAUGCUUUGCUUGAAUGAUUGAUGUUGCUGUAUAAUUUGUGUUUUGUAUUGUUGUUGUUUUAACACUGCCUUUGCCGGUCCCAAGCCCGGAUGUGAAAAUGUGGAGGGAGCUGCAGUUACCUUCUUUAUAUUGUUUGCAUUACACACA